CCAGUUCAAGCCAUAGCAUCCAUUAGCUUCUCAUUCCCUCCCCGACUGCAAUUCGGAAAACUUACCAGGAAUGCUGGUGUCAGCAAAGACUGCUGGUUCUAGCUCGCCUGGAGCUGGCGGAAACCAUCCAACGUCUGCAUUUUUCUCACUGGCUCUAAGGUGGUGGAAACGUAACACAGAGCAAGCAGAGGCCAGCUCUGCACCGCAGCCUCCCAGAGCACGCCAGGACGGAGGGCUCAACRCUGGCCACCACUGCCACCACCAUGCAAGAAGCACCAGCAAUCAGCCCAGUCCCUCCACCUGCCACCAAAGGCAGAGCCUUUUCUCUUGCAAUGUUAAUUACUUAAUGUGAGCCAGAUGGUGUUAAACGGCACCAAACCAACCCCCCUGUCAGGUGGAUUUCUCCAGUUGAGCACUGCAAGGACAGAUUUGCAUCGCRAGGAAGGCAGAAGCUCUGUGUAAGCCCAUCUCAACUCAAAGCCUUGAUAUUGCAGGCACUCUCUGGUGUCAGUGGUGCUCUGAAAGAUUUGGGAGCAAAAGCUGAACAGAGACAAGGACGAAGGGGGUUAUCAAAUGCAGGUAACACAGCCCCAAGAUCUCACUUUG
This 606-nucleotide long non-coding RNA is filed under the name Dromaius novaehollandiae (emu). RNAcentral's name for it is "lncRNA (ENSDNVG00000016837.1)". Lineage: Eukaryota; Metazoa; Chordata; Aves; Casuariiformes; Dromaiidae. The record is from RNAcentral.